RNAcentral lists this ribosomal RNA (436 nucleotides) under uncultured bacterium. RNAcentral describes it as "bacterial SSU rRNA". It matches the Rfam family "Bacterial small subunit ribosomal RNA", at positions 28 to 455 of the family's 1533-position model. The record is from RNAcentral.
GAUGAACGCUGGCGGCGUGCUUAACACAUGCAAGUCGAACGGACUUUACAUGAAGCCUAGCGAAUGUAAAGUUAGUGGCGGACGGGUGAGUAACGCGUGAAUAACCUGCCUUAUACUGGGGGACAACAGUUGGAAACGACUGCUAAUACCGCAUAAGCGCACGGAGCUGCAUGGCUCAGUGUGAAAAACUCCGGUGGUAUAAGAUGGAUUCGCGUCUGAUUAGCUAGUUGGUGAGGUAACGGCCCACCAAGGCGACGAUCAGUAGCCGGCCUGAGAGGGUGAACGGCCACAUUGGGACUGAGAUACGGCCCAGACUCCUACGGGAGGCAGCAGUGGGGAAUAUUGGGCAAUGGGGGAAACCCUGACCCAGCAACGCCGCGUGAAGGAAGAAGGCCUUCGGGUUGGUAAACUUACUUUUACCUAGGACGAAGAACGU